UGUGAGCUCGUGAGGUCAAGCCUGCA
This 26-nucleotide non-coding RNA is filed under the name Homo sapiens (human). The record is from RNAcentral. Lineage: Eukaryota; Metazoa; Chordata; Mammalia; Primates; Hominidae.